Molecule: ribosomal RNA, 406 nt
Filed under: uncultured bacterium
Lineage: Bacteria
Description: partial 16S ribosomal RNA
Rfam family: Bacterial small subunit ribosomal RNA
Source: RNAcentral
AUUGAACGCUGGCGGCAGGCCUAACACAUGCAAGUCGAACGAGUGGCGGACGGGUGAGUAAUGUCUGGGAAACUGCCUGAUGGAGGGGGAUAACUACUGGAAAAGGUAGCUAAUACCGCAUACCAUCGGAUGUGCCCAGAUGGGAUUAGGUAGUAGGGGGGGUAACGGCUCACCUAGGCGACGGUCCCUAGCAGGUCUGAGAGGAUGACCAGCCACACUGGAACUGAGACACGGUCCAGGCUCCUACGGGAGGCAGCAGUGGUGAAUAUUGCACAAUGGGCGCAAGCCUGAGGCAGCCAUGCCGAGUGUAUGAAGAAGGCCUUCGUGUUGUAAAGUACUUUCAGCGGGGAGGCGUUACCCGCAGAAGAAGCACCGGCUAACUCCGUGCCAGCAGCCGCGGUAAUAC